This is a long non-coding RNA of Nicotiana tabacum (common tobacco), 1943 nucleotides long. RefSeq lists it as uncharacterized. The record is from RefSeq and is a predicted model, not a curated record. NCBI's taxonomy places the organism in Eukaryota, Viridiplantae, Streptophyta, Magnoliopsida, Solanales, Solanaceae.
CCCUAAAAUAAUAUGUGAGCCCACUACAUCAACAAAAACCCCUAUUUCUCUCAUCUCCUUCUUUCACAUAGCUAGCUCUAACUAGAGAACCCACUGAGAAAUCCCACAUAACUCUGGCCAGCGUGAUGGUUUAUUUUGCAGGUUUCCCCUUCUGGAUAUUCAAUAGUUAAUGGAUAAUGGAGAUAAAAGUUGGAUGGGUCUCUGAAGAUCAACGAAGGAGUACAUCCGCGGAGUGAACGAUUUUCUUGACAAGGCAUUUGAACGGACUGCCCAAGGAAAUGAAAUAUUAUGCCCUUGCAAAAAAUGCAUUAACUAUUAUUGGCAUUAUAGAAAUGUAGUGGAGGAUCGCUUGGUUGCUUAUGGGUUUGUUACUGGAUACACCAAAGGGGUUUUUCAUGGGGAAAGGGUUUCCUCAAAAAAUACUCUACGGUCAAGCAACGAUGAGGAUGAUUCUAACAUGCAUGACGAUAUUGAUGGACUACUUCAUGAUACUUUUUGAAAUGCAGAGGGUGACUUGAGAUGUGAAGAAGAAGUGAGAGAGGGACCAUCUGAAGAUGCAAAUUUUUUUUUAAAAUUAUUGGAGGAAGGGAAGGAAGAGUUAUACCCGGGGUGUGAGAAUUUUUCUAAAUUAAGUUUCUCCAUUCGAUUGUACUUGUUUAAAUGCAUUCAUGGAUUGAGUAAUGUGGCCUUUUUAGACUUGUUAAUAGAGGCAUCUCCAUUUGCUCAGUUACCUGGCUCUUUCAACAAGGCUAAAAACAUGAUACAAGAUUUGGGUCUUCGUUAUGAAAAAAUACAUGCAUGCCCAAAUGAUUGCAUGCUAUUUUGGAAUGACAAUGUGAAAAUAGAUAAUUGCACUGUUUGUGGGUCUUCCAGAUGGAAGAAUGUUGGUAAUGGUUUGAAUAAUGCAAGCUCCAAACUCCCAGCAAAGGUUUUAAGGUACUUUCCUUUAAAGCCUAGGCUUCAAAGAAUAUUUAUGUGUCCAGAAACAGCUGUAGCUAUGAAAUGGCAUGCUACUGAAUGACCGAAUGAUGGAAAUUUAAGACAUCCUGUUGAUGGAGAAGCAUGGGUAAUUUCAAGCACAAAACAGGAGCAGUGUGUUACCAUUCUUGGUCAAUUAGCAUCUCAUCAGUCACCCCAAAUUUCUGCAACUCCUUGGGCUUCUACGUAAAUCAUCUUGACUAUAUAAGUUGACAUUACUGUUUUGCAGAAAAUGUCUGAGAUUAAUAUUAAGAACCGAUUAAAGUUGAAGAAUCCACAUACUGCUGGAAAAACAAGCUUCGCUAUCAUUCGCAAUGAAUUGGUCGAAAUGGAAGAAAUUGAAAUGCAACAAACCGAUGAUGGCAAUGAAUCUGUUAAUGCAUUUGCAUCUGUAAUGUGACCUGAACAUCCAGGACGCUUGAGGUUAUAUGGACAAGGGGUUACACAAACUUCUUUGAAAGAGAAAAUGGUAUAUUUUGAACACUCUCAAACUUCUACAAAUGAUUUCCAAAAGAUGGAAGAGUGGAUGCAAAAAAUUGAGGAAAAAUUUGAAUAACAAAAGAUAACUAUACGUCAAGAAGUUGUCGAAGAUGUCAUCGGAAAACUUCAACGUUCAGGAUUAACACUUGAUCCUAACAUUAUAGCAACAUUGUGCGAUCACUCUGCACCACAAGCAGCUAUUCAACCAAUUCAUCGGCCGUCUAUUGGUAGCAACAGUCAAGGUAUUACUUAAAACGUCGACACACAUACACGGUGGAACAAAUGAACAAGAAGUAUAGCAGUGAAGACCUUACUUGAGGGCGUUGGUUCUGUUAGAGCUUCAUAUGUUCUAGGAUCUUCUAAUUUAGAAUUUUUUGCAAACUUAUCUGUGCUAACUUUGAAUUGUUAAACAGUACGUUAUAUAGCUAUUUUGCUUUUAUGUAGAUGAUGUUAGUUGAAUAUAUUGGAUAACUAUGUUGAUUACU